GACGAACGCUGGCGGCGUGCUUAACACAUGCAAGUCGAACGGAAAGGCCCUGCUUUUGUGGGGUGCUCGAGUGGCGAACGGGUGAGGAACACGUGAGUAACCUGCCCUUGACUUUGGGAUAACUUCAGGAAACUGGGGCUAAUACCGGAUAGGAGCUCCUGCUGCAUGGUGGGGGUUGGAAAGUUUCGGCGGGUGGGGAUGGACUCGCGGCUUAUCAGCUUGUUGGUGGGGUAGUGGUUUACCAAGGCUUUGACGGGUAGCCGGCCUGAGAGGGUGACCGGCCACAUUGGGACUGAGGUACGGCCCAGACUCCUACGGGAGGCAGCAGUGGGGAAUAUUGCACAAUGGGCGGAAGCCUGAUGCAGCGACGCCGCGUGCGGGAUGACGGCCUUCGGGUUGUAAACCGCUUUAGCCUGUGACGAAGCGUGAGUGACGGUAAUGAGUAAAGAAGCACCGGCUAACUACGUG
This 468-nucleotide ribosomal RNA is filed under the name uncultured bacterium. RNAcentral describes it as "partial 16S ribosomal RNA". It matches the Rfam family "Bacterial small subunit ribosomal RNA", at positions 28 to 507 of the family's 1533-position model. The record is from RNAcentral.